CCCCGGGCUCAACCUGGGAACUGCGUUNUGAACUGGGUGACUAGAGUGUGUCAGAGGGAGNUAGAAUUCCACGUGUAGCAGUGAANUGCGUAGAGAUGUGGAGGAAUACCGAUGGCGAAGGCAGCCUCCUGGGAUAACACUGACGUUCAUGCCCGAAAGCGUGGGUAGCAAACAGGAUUAGAUACCNUGGUAGUCCACGCCCUAAACGAUGUCGAUUAGCUGUUGGGCAGCAUGUCUGCUUAGUAGCGAAGCUAACGCGUGAAAUCGACCGCCUGGGGAGUACGGUCGCAAGAUUAAAACUCAAAGGAAUUGACGGGGACCCGCACAAGCGGUGGAUGAUGUGGAUUAAUUCGAUGCAACGCGAAGAACCUUACCUGGUCUUGACAUGUGCGGAACCCUCCAGAGACGGAGGGGUGCCUUCGGGAGCCGUAACACAGGUGCUGCAUGGCUGUCGUCAGCUCGUGUCGUGAGAUGUUGGGUUAAGUCCCGCAACGAGCACAACCCUUGUCAUUAGUUGCCAUCAUUAAGUUGGGCACUCUAAUGAGACUGCCGGUGACAAGCCGGAGGAAGGUGGGGAUGACGUCAAGUCCUCAUGGCCCUUAUGACCAGGGCUUCACACGUCAUACAAUGGUCGGUACAGAGGGUAGCCAAGCCGCGAGGUGGAGCCAAUCUCACAAAACCGAUCGUAGUCCGGAUUGCACUCUGCAACUCGAGUGCAUGAAGUCGGAAUCGCUAGUAAUCGCAGGUCAGCAUACUGCGGUGAAUACGUUCCCGGGUCUUGUACACACCGCCCGUCACACCAUGGGAGUGGGGGAUACCAGAAGUAG
Molecule: ribosomal RNA, 827 nt
Filed under: uncultured bacterium
Lineage: Bacteria
Description: bacterial SSU rRNA
Rfam family: Bacterial small subunit ribosomal RNA
Source: RNAcentral